CCUACGGGAGGCUGCAGUGAGGAAUAUUGGUCAAUGGCCGGAAGGCUGAACCAGCCAAGCCGCGUGAAGGACGAAGGUGCCAAGCAUUGUAAACUUCUUUUGUCAAGGGACAAAAUCAGGCUCGAGAGCCUGACCGAGGGUACUUGAAGAAAAAGCAUCGGCUAACUCCGUGCCAGCAGCCGCGGUAAUACGGAGGAUGCGAGCGUUAUCCGGAUUUAUUGGGUUUAAAGGGUGCGUAGGCGGGCUGUUAAGUCAGCGGUAAAAGCCCGGGGCUCAACCCCGGCGAGCCGUUGAGACUGGCUGUCUUGAGAUGUCGAGAGGUAUGCGGAAUGCGCAGUGUAGCGGUGAAAUGCUUAGAUAUUGCGCAGAACUCCGAUUGCGAAGGCAGCAUACCGGCGGCGAUCUGACGCUGAGGCACGAAAGCGUGGGUAGCGAACAGGAUUAGAUACCCUUGUAGUC
Molecule: ribosomal RNA, 459 nt
Filed under: uncultured bacterium
Lineage: Bacteria
Description: partial 16S ribosomal RNA
Rfam family: Bacterial small subunit ribosomal RNA
Source: RNAcentral